UGGGGAAUAUUGGACAAUGGGGGCAACCCUGAUCCAGCAAUGCCGCGUGUGUGAAGAAGGUUUUCGGAUUGUAAAGCACUUUCGGCGGGGACGAUGAUGACGGUACCCGCAGAAGAAGCCCCGGCUAACUUCGUGCCAGCAGCCGCGGUAAUACGAAGGGGGCUAGCGUUGCUCGGAAUGACUGGGCGUAAAGGGCGUGUAGGCGGUUUGUACAGUCAGGUGUGAAAUCCCCGGGCUUAACCUGGGAGCUGCAUUUGAGACGUGCAGACUAGAGUGUGAGAGAGGGUUGUGGAAUUCCCAGUGUAGAGGUGAAAUUCGUAGAUAUUGGGAAGAACACCGGUGGCGAAGGCGGCAACCUGGCUCAUUACUGACGCUGAGGCGCGAAAGCGUGGGGAGCAAACAGGAUUAGAUACCCUGGUAGUCCACGCUGUAAACGAUGUGUGCUGGAUGUUGGGUAACUUAGUUAUUCAGUGUCGUAGCUAACGCGAUAAGCACACCGCCUGGGGAGUACGGCCGCAAGGUUG
This 524-nucleotide ribosomal RNA is filed under the name uncultured bacterium. RNAcentral describes it as "partial 16S ribosomal RNA". It matches the Rfam family "Bacterial small subunit ribosomal RNA", at positions 355 to 896 of the family's 1533-position model. The record is from RNAcentral.